UUUGAGAGAGGAGGUGAAAAGAAGAGAGAAAGUGAGAACGCGAAGGGAAAACGCGAAGGAGAGAAGACGGGAGGAAAAUCAACCGCGAUUCCACUCUGGUUUCCUUCUAUUAGUGGCAGAGGCAGUGGUUUCCGAGGAUGAGCAUAUCGCGAAGGCCGUUUACAGUGGUUGGAGCGGUUUAGGGUCGUUUUCCAUGCAAUGAACCGCCAUCCAUGAUGAUGAUUUCUCUUCUCCUUGAUUCGGUUCUUUAUCUCGGUUUGGGCUAUGAAGAGAGAUUGAGUGUUGAUUUAUUUUAAGCUAUAGGAGAUGGUUGAUAUAUAACUUGAGAGAAUCUUCUUAUUAAAGCAUCUGAAGAAAUUGGGGGUGGGUAGGGUUUAGUUAGUUUUGAAUUUCUUUGCUAUUUAUUAUCAGUUUUUUUAUGUAUUUGGGCCGGACAAAAUUGAGUGUUCACAACUGCCCCUCUUUACUUGUUGCUUACUUGAAAGCAAGUAAACUGAAGGCUAUCAAAGUGAGUAACUAGUAAAUAAAAUAACAUUAAUUUUUU
Molecule: non-coding RNA, 544 nt
Organism: Lupinus albus (white lupine)
Lineage: Eukaryota; Viridiplantae; Streptophyta; Magnoliopsida; Fabales; Fabaceae
Source: the annotation of a GenBank genome assembly